ACGACCUUACUUGAACAUGAUCUAUUCCACGGUAAGUACCUCUGUAUCCUUGAUUUCUAAGGAGACAUGCUCGUAACCCUGGUUGAUGAUUCAUGACCGUACGGUUUGAGUGUGAUUAACGGUUACGAUUGUCUUCGGACUCUCCGCGCAGAGGAUCGCUACCUAGUCUGGUCUUCACCUAGCUAGGGUGGUCGUACGGUUGUCUGACAUGUC
This is a small nucleolar RNA of Brassica oleracea var. oleracea, 213 nucleotides long. It matches the Rfam family "Plant small nucleolar RNA U3". From Rfam's summary of the family: Small nucleolar RNAs (snoRNAs) are involved in the processing and modification of rRNA in the nucleolus. There are two main classes of snoRNAs: the box C/D class, and the box H/ACA class. Lineage: Eukaryota; Viridiplantae; Streptophyta; Magnoliopsida; Brassicales; Brassicaceae. The record is from Rfam.